Molecule: long non-coding RNA, 505 nt
Organism: Uranotaenia lowii
Lineage: Eukaryota; Metazoa; Arthropoda; Insecta; Diptera; Culicidae
Exons: 2
Source: RefSeq, a predicted model, not a curated record
GAUGGGAAGAAACUUAAUGUUUUGGGGAAGCUGAAUGUUUACGUGGAGCUGAACGGGAUUAAUCAACACGUUGACCUGGUGGUGUUAAGAUGCUGUAAUGAUUUUGUGCCUUUGAUGGGUCGAACAUGGCUGGAUGUGUUCUGCGACGGCUGGAGAAACCUUUUUGCCAAAUCAUCUGCACCGAGGUUGAACGUCAAUUCGAUAAAAGAGGAGAAAAUUGUGCAGGAAAUAAUAAGUCAUAUUCAACGGAAGAAUUAUUUUGGCGCAUAGGCGGCAAUUGAAAUUGGCCCCCAAGAUUCAACGAAGAGCAACAGUAAAUUUUGUCAUCAACGAAGAAAUCAACACAUUGUCACCUGAACAUGGAUCGCAUAACUCAAAAAGAAGAAGGGAGGAGAAUGAUGAAAUGGACCAGUUUGCUUCUGAUACCAGUUCUGAUUUUUAUGGUUUUCCGGCAGAGUCGUUCAUAUACAACAACGCUGAGCAAAUGGACAACACGGAAGGCAUU